RNAcentral lists this ribosomal RNA (530 nucleotides) under uncultured Candidatus Poseidoniales archaeon. RNAcentral describes it as "bacterial SSU rRNA". It matches the Rfam family "Archaeal small subunit ribosomal RNA", at positions 476 to 1005 of the family's 1478-position model. The record is from RNAcentral. Lineage: Archaea; Methanobacteriati; Thermoplasmatota; Candidatus Poseidoniia; Candidatus Poseidoniales.
CCGGCAGCUCAAGUGGUCGUCGCUUUUAUUGGGCCUAAAACGUCCGUAGCCUGUUUGGUAAAUCUGUGGGUAAAUCAGCCAGCUUAACUGGUUGAAUUCUGCAGAGACUGCCAGACUAGGGACCGGGAGAGGUGUGGGGUACUCUAGGGGUAGGGGUAAAAUCCUGUCAUCCUUAGAGGACCACCAGUUGCGAAGGCGCCACACUGGAACGGAUCCGACGGUCAGGGACGAAGCCUAGGGGCACGAACCGGAUUAGAUACCCGGGUAGUCCUAGGUGUAAACGCUGUGAACUUGGUGUCGGGAGUCCGCAAUGGGCCCCCGGUGCCGGAGUGAAGAUGUUAAGUUCACUGCCUGGGGAGUACGGUCGCAAGGCUGAAACUUAAAGGAAUUGGGCGGGGGAGCACUGCAACGGGAGGAGCGUGCGGGUUUAAUUGGAUUCAACGCCGGAAACUCACCAGGGCCGACUGUUAGAUGAAGACCAGUGUAACGACUUGUCCGGAUUUUCAAAGAGGUGGUGCAUGGCCAGGGCG